AUGUGUGCUACAGAGAAAGAACACAGAUUUGGCCUCUCAAAAGCUGUCUCCGUUAUGAGGUACAGCGCCUCUGCUUUUGGGUUUGCAUUUGAUGCCAUCCUGGACGUCCUGUCAUCGGCGAUUGUCCUGUGGCGUUACAGCAAUGCGGCCGCUGUGCAUUCUGCACAUAGGGAGUACAUAGCCUGUGUCAUCUUGGGGGUGAUAUUCCUUCUGUCAUCCAUAUGUAUAGUGGUCAAAGCCAUCCAUGACCUCUCAACUAGGCUGCUCCCAGAAGUGGACGAUUUCCUGUUCAGUGUCUCCAUUUUAAGUGGGAUUCUUUGCAGCAUCCUGGCCGUGUUGAAGUUCAUGCUGGGGAAGGUUCUGACCAGUAGAGCACUCAUCACAGAUGGGUUUAACUCCCUCGUGGGUGGCGUGAUGGGCUUCUCCAUUCUUCUGAGCGCGGAAGUGUUCAAGCAUGACUUGGCGGUCUGGUACCUGGAUGGCAGCAUAGGCGUUCUGAUCAGCCUCACCAUAUUUGCCUAUGGGGUCAAACUCCUGAUCGACAUGGUGCCGAGGGUGAGGCAGACGCGUCACUAUGAGAUGUUUGAGUGAAGGGGGCCAGCGUCCGCAUGAGACCAUCGAGAUGAGGAGUUUCCACAUAGGCAAAGGAUGCCAAUAUUUAACUGAACAUCUGGUUUCUUUUUGGAAGUUUUCUUUCACGUGGUUUGUCAUUACAAGACAAGGUCUACCCAGCCAGGUGGAUCUACCUUGCCCCCAUCACCUGCUGCCCCCAUCAAACAUGUUAGGACAGUGCCCAUAGGAAUGGACCUGCUUCCCCGUCUCCAGCUGGGACUGGCGUUUUCUAUUCUCUGGAGUAUGAUGGUUCUCAUGGGUAGGAUGAGAUCUUGGGCAGAAAGGUCUUCGGUGGUGCUCUGAGCCUGCGCUGCGUAGGACUGAGCAGACCCCCCUCCUCCAGCGGGGGUGGCCCUGCCACUCCUGGUUCCAAGUCUCUCCUCUCCCUGCAGGUCUUAAGGGAAGAUUGUACCCCUCACCCUUUACAUGCCCAGAAUCAGUAUGUCACUUCCUAAUUUCUAUCGGUGUAUCUCAUUAGUUUCAUACUGUUU
Nomascus leucogenys (northern white-cheeked gibbon) is the source of this 1103-nucleotide non-coding RNA. The record is from RefSeq and is a predicted model, not a curated record. Lineage: Eukaryota; Metazoa; Chordata; Mammalia; Primates; Hylobatidae.